CUCUAUGGCGGUUCAGGUAGGGGAGCCGAAAGGCUCGCCGGAGUUAGUGCCGGUCUGCAAACCUUAUCUGGAUCGCCUCCAAA
This 83-nucleotide non-coding RNA is filed under the name Arsenophonus endosymbiont of Trialeurodes vaporariorum. Lineage: Bacteria; Pseudomonadati; Pseudomonadota; Gammaproteobacteria; Enterobacterales; Morganellaceae. The record is from RNAcentral.